RNAcentral lists this unclassified non-coding RNA (399 nucleotides) under soil metagenome. RNAcentral's name for it is "partial contains small subunit ribosomal RNA and internal transcribed spacer 1". The record is from RNAcentral.
UCUCCGUAGGUGAACCUGCGGAGGGAUCAUUUCCACGCUUUGGCGCGGCGCGUUCGCCUGAAAAGGCGGGUGCGCAGCCCAAACCCCCCACACAACCACGCGAGUGGCUGAGUGUCGCCCAUGUGCCGGGGUGGCGGCUUAAUACGCUAAAUGACCCCGGUUGCCCUGGAGGGAGUGCGUCCGCGCGCGCCCUCUGUCGCUUGAGGCCGGCGCCUGCGCGUCACAGCGCGGGCGUCGCACGCCUAGGGGCACAAAUACCAACUGCAAGCGACGACCCCCCAACCAAAAUAACCAAGCCUUCAAACUGUCCUUAGCGGGACACCAAACCCUGCAAUCGGAGCCUCCGCGCUCUGAGAUGCUAACCGCUAAAAACUUUUGGCAAUGGAUAUCUUGGCUACU